This 1490-nucleotide ribosomal RNA is filed under the name Helicobacter pylori Hp A-11. RNAcentral's name for it is "bacterial SSU rRNA". It matches the Rfam family "Bacterial small subunit ribosomal RNA". The record is from RNAcentral. Lineage: Bacteria; Pseudomonadati; Campylobacterota; Epsilonproteobacteria; Campylobacterales; Helicobacteraceae.
GAGUUUGAUCCUGGCUCAGAGUGAACGCUGGCGGCGUGCCUAAUACAUGCAAGUCGAACGAUGAAGCUUCUAGCUUGCUAGAGUGCUGAUUAGUGGCGCACGGGUGAGUAACGCAUAGGUCAUGUGCCUCUUAGUUUGGGAUAGCCAUUGGAAACGAUGAUUAAUACCAGAUACUCCCUACGGGGGAAAGAUUUAUCGCUAAGAGAUCAGCCUAUGUCCUAUCAGCUUGUUGGUAAGGUAAUGGCUUACCAAGGCUAUGACGGGUAUCCGGCCUGAGAGGGUGAACGGACACACUGGAACUGAGACACGGUCCAGACUCCUACGGGAGGCAGCAGUAGGGAAUAUUGCUCAAUGGGGGAAACCCUGAAGCAGCAACGCCGCGUGGAGGAUGAAAGUUUUAGGAUUGUAAACUCCUUUUGUUAGAGAAGAUAAUGACGGUAUCUAACGAAUAAGCACCGGCUAACUCCGUGCCAGCAGCCGCGGUAAUACGGAGGGUGCAAGCGUUACUCGGAAUCACUGGGCGUAAAGAGCGCGUAGGCGGGAUAGUCAGUCAGGUGUGAAAUCCUAUGGCUUAACCAUAGAACUGCAUUUGAAACUACUAUUCUAGAGUGUGGGAGAGGUAGGUGGAAUUCUUGGUGUAGGGGUAAAAUCCGUAGAGAUCAAGAGGAAUACUCAUUGCGAAGGCGACCUGCUGGAACAUUACUGACGCUGAUUGCGCGAAAGCGUGGGGAGCAAACAGGAUUAGAUACCCUGGUAGUCCACGCCCUAAACGAUGGAUGCUAGUUGUUGGAGGGCUUAGUCUCUCCAGUAAUGCAGCUAACGCAUUAAGCAUCCCGCCUGGGGAGUACGGUCGCAAGAUUAAAACUCAAAGGAAUAGACGGGGACCCGCACAAGCGGUGGAGCAUGUGGUUUAAUUCGAAGAUACACGAAGAACCUUACCUAGGCUUGACAUUGAGAGAAUCCGCUAGAAAUAGUGGAGUGUCUGGCUUGCCAGACCUUGAAAACAGGUGCUGCACGGCUGUCGUCAGCUCGUGUCGUGAGAUGUUGGGUUAAGUCCCGCAACGAGCGCAACCCCCUUUCUUAGUUGCUAACAGGUUAUGCUGAGAACUCUAAGGAUACUGCCUCCGUAAGGAGGAGGAAGGUGGGGACGACGUCAAGUCAUCAUGGCCCUUACGCCUAGGGCUACACACGUGCUACAAUGGGGUGUACAAAGAGAAGCAAUACUGCGAAGUGGAGCCAAUCUUCAAAACACCUCUCAGUUCGGAUUGUAGGCUGCAACUCGCCUGCAUGAAGCUGGAAUCGCUAGUAAUCGCAAAUCAGCCAUGUUGCGGUGAAUACGUUCCCGGGUCUUGUACUCACCGCCCGUCACACCAUGGGAGUUGUGUUUGCCUUAAGUCAGGAUGCUAAAUUGGCUACUGCCCACGGCACACACAGCGACUGGGGUGAAGUCGUAACAAGGUAACCGUAGGUGAACCUGCGGUUGGAUCACC